GUAGGUAUGGUGUUAGUAGUUAGCAUAUGACAUUGCCAAUGUCAAGGGGACAGUUCAAAUCUGUUUAUCUACU
RNAcentral lists this transfer RNA (73 nucleotides) under Crassvirales sp. RNAcentral describes it as "tRNA-Gly". It matches the Rfam family "tRNA". Rfam says of the family: Transfer RNA (tRNA) molecules are approximately 80 nucleotides in length. Their secondary structure includes four short double-helical elements and three loops (D, anti-codon, and T loops). Further hydrogen bonds mediate the characteristic L-shaped molecular structure. tRNAs have two regions of fundamental functional importance: the anti-codon, which is responsible for specific mRNA codon recognition, and the 3' end, to which the tRNAs corresponding amino acid is attached (by aminoacyl-tRNA synthetases). tRNAs cope with the degeneracy of the genetic code in two manners: having more than one tRNA (with a specific anti-codon) for a particular amino acid; and 'wobble' base-pairing, i.e. permitting non-standard base-pairing at the 3rd anti-codon position. The record is from RNAcentral. Lineage: Duplodnaviria; Heunggongvirae; Uroviricota; Caudoviricetes; Crassvirales.